Molecule: small nuclear RNA, 314 nt
Filed under: Erinaceus europaeus (western European hedgehog)
Lineage: Eukaryota; Metazoa; Chordata; Mammalia; Eulipotyphla; Erinaceidae
Description: 7SK RNA
Rfam family: 7SK RNA
About the family: 7SK was discovered as an abundant small nuclear RNA in the mid-70s but a possible function has only recently been suggested. Two independent studies have found that 7SK RNA binds the CDK9/cyclin T complex (known as elongation factor P-TEFb). P-TEFb activates transcription by phosphorylating the C-terminal domain of RNA polymerase II.
Source: Rfam by way of RNAcentral
AGAUGUGAAGGCGAUCUAGCUGCGACAUCUAUCACCCCAUUGAUCACCAGGGUUGAUUCGGCUGAUCUGGCUGACUAGGCAGGUGUCCCCUUUCUCCCUCACCGCUCCAUGUAUGUCCCUCCUGAAGCUGCAUGCUCGGUCGAAGAGGACGGCCUUCCCCAAAUAGAGACGGACCGGUCUUUGGUCGAGGGUAUACGAGUAGCUGCGCUCCCCUGCUAGAACCUCCAAACAAGCUCUCAAGAACAGGAAUUACUUCUUUGUAUGAAUGAAUAUAUAUUUCACAUAUAUAUAUAUAUAUAUAUAUAUAUAUAUAU